This 251-nucleotide ribosomal RNA is filed under the name uncultured bacterium. RNAcentral describes it as "partial 16S ribosomal RNA". It matches the Rfam family "Bacterial small subunit ribosomal RNA", at positions 15 to 273 of the family's 1533-position model. The record is from RNAcentral.
GAUCAUGGCUCAGGACGAACGCUGGCGGCGUGCCUAACACAUGCAAGUCGAACGGGGUUGUUGAAGAAGCUUGCUUUUGAGACAACCAAGUGGCGGACGGGUGAGUAACGCGUGAGGACCUGUCUCCGGCAGGGGGACAACAUUUGGAAACGGAUGCUAAUACCGCAUAAGCCGAGAGGUGAAAGGAGCAAUCCGGCAGGAGAGGGACUCGCGUUCUAUCAGCUAGUAGGCGGGGUAAAGGCCCACCUAGG